CGCGGUGCAUUAGCUAGUUGGUAGGGUAACGGCCUACCAAGGGCGAUGAUGCAUAGCCCGAGUUGAGAGACUGAUCGGCCACAUUGGGGACUGAGACACGGCCCAAACUCCUACGGGAGGCAGCAGUAGGGAAUCUUCCACAAUGGACGCAAGUCUGAUGGAGCAAACGCCGCGUGAGUGAAGAAGGGUUUCGGCUCGUAAAGCUCUGUUGUUGGUGAAGAAGGACAGGGGUAGUAACUGACCCUUUGUUUGACGGUAAUCAAUUAGAAGUCACGGCUAGCUACGUGCCAGCAGCCGCGGUAAAU
RNAcentral lists this ribosomal RNA (305 nucleotides) under uncultured Lactobacillus sp. RNAcentral describes it as "bacterial SSU rRNA". It matches the Rfam family "Bacterial small subunit ribosomal RNA", at positions 232 to 525 of the family's 1533-position model. Lineage: Bacteria; Bacillati; Bacillota; Bacilli; Lactobacillales; Lactobacillaceae. The record is from RNAcentral.